AACGAACGCUGGCGGCAGGCCUAACACAUGCAAGUCGAGCGGGGUUUUCGGACCUAGCGGCGGACGGGUGAGUAAUGCGUAGGAAGCUACCCGAUAGAGGGGGAUACCAGUUGGAAACGACUGUUAAUACCGCAUAAUGUCUACGGACCAAAGUGUGGGACCUUCGGGCCACAUGCUAUCGGAUGCGCCUACGUGGGAUUAGCUAGUUGGUGAGGUAAUGGCUCACCAAGGCGACGAUCCGUAACUGGUCUGAGAGGAUGAUCAGUCACACUGGAACUGAGACACGGUCCAGACUCCUACGGGAGGCAGCAGUGGGGAAUAUUGGACAAUGGGCGAAAGCCUGAUCCAGCCAUGCCGCGUGUGUGAAGAAGGUCUUCGGAUUGUAAAGCACUUUAAGUUGGAGGAAGGUAGUAACCUAANACGUUGCUACUUUUGACGUUUACCGACAGAAUAAGCACCGGCUAACUUCGUGCCAGCAGCCGCGGUAAAGUGACUACUG
RNAcentral lists this ribosomal RNA (499 nucleotides) under uncultured bacterium. RNAcentral's name for it is "bacterial SSU rRNA". It matches the Rfam family "Bacterial small subunit ribosomal RNA", at positions 29 to 534 of the family's 1533-position model. The record is from RNAcentral.